GGUCCGUUGGUCAAGGGGUUAAGCACCGCCUUUUCACGGCGGUAACACGGGUUCGAAUCCCGUACGGACUA
This 71-nucleotide transfer RNA is filed under the name Streptococcus pneumoniae. Its description in RNAcentral is "tRNA-Glu(ttc)". It matches the Rfam family "tRNA". Rfam says of the family: Transfer RNA (tRNA) molecules are approximately 80 nucleotides in length. Their secondary structure includes four short double-helical elements and three loops (D, anti-codon, and T loops). The record is from RNAcentral. Lineage: Bacteria; Bacillati; Bacillota; Bacilli; Lactobacillales; Streptococcaceae.